CAUGUUUCUUUUUGUUCUUUUAAUGGUAUAUAAAACUUAGUGUUAAAAACUAGAAUACAAACUAUUUCAAGACAUAUCCAAUGAAGCUCAAUACUAAGAGAACAACUGACGAGAUUUUGUGAACAUUAAAAAUAAUUUUAAAAAAUCAAAUCCAGUAUCAGAUUCAUUCAACUAUUUAAGUGAUGCUAACUAGUUUGUGACUCAAAAUUAACGAGACAGUUGGCACAGACUAGAUCAGAACUUCUUCUUUUGCAAUGCCUUUGGGACAAUGUUAGGAAAAUUCAAGCUACUGUACUAGUGGUCACUAAUUGACACUGCAGAUAGAAAUAAGUGAAUCUUGUUAACAUUAUUUCUCCCACUUCCCAUUCUUGGAUCAAGUUGAAACUUAACACAAUUGGAAAGGUGGCCAAAACCACUUGGCUAUCUAACAAGGGGGUCAAGUUCCAAUUCAGAGUCAAGCCAAGUUGUGUUUGUUGAGCGCCCAAAGGCAGCACAUAAACUUUCUACCAGGUACCCCUUUCUCCCACUGGUCCACAAAAGAGAUUGAACCAUAGUGCACUAUAUAAAACCAUGAAUCGAACAGAAAAUUAACUAAUAAAUUAAUCAAUUAGUCAUAAUUAUUUUAUUUUAUACAGGAAAUGUAUGUAUAGAAUUAGAUUACCUUCCAUCAGGGAGGCUCGAGUUUGAAUUCAGACUUGAGAAACUUUUUUUUAACUUGCUUUUGAAAAGGCAACACAGACACUUUCUUCCAGAUACCCCUCCCCACCCAAACUGGUCCACAAAAAUGAUUGGACCAUAAGCACUGAGCAAGCUGUAAGUAUGAAGUCAAGGUAACCAAGAACAAUUAAUACAAAUAUUUCUAAUCGCAAAGAUUUAUUAUUGUUCAACUAGAUCUAUUUUUAAACAUUUUUUCAUACUUUUACUAGUUAUGUAAUCAAGUAUUGAUUACAGAUUUGAACUGUACAAAAUACUUAGAGUUUUCAAAAUCUUAUUCACUAAUAGUUAUUAACUAGUAAAUUUAACAUAAAAUUUUAUUUUACUUUUUUCAAGAAAAACAUCAAUUAAACAUACAACACACACAUUUCUUAGAUGCUAUUACAAGUGAACAAUAGAAUUCAUUACAUAUUUGUUAAGUAAUCAUUUCUAAUUUUAUACAUUUUUUUGUUGACAUAAGUUCAAAAUAACUAAGAAUAAGAAAAUGUGUAACAUUCAACUAUACAAUAAUAAUUAGCAAAUUUUUAAUUAUUGAGGUGGAGAAAAAUGUCAGACAUAAACUUAUUAUUUAACAUACAAAUUUGAUUACAUUUAGUUAUUUCUCAAGCAGCACAGACAUGAACGUGUUCAUUAUUUUGAGCUUUACAAGAUUAGAUCAUGUUUUGUUUUUCCAUUUAGACAGCUAAUUAUUUUUAUGAACUCUGAAGAUAAAAGGAAACCAGUACCAGUACCAAACCUUUGAUAUAGUGAAACAGAAAGAAUAUGACCGUUUUUUUUAUAUUUCAUGUUAUACAAAAGAGUAGAAAUACACAUUAAAAAUUUCAUCUAUGACUAUUUUUUUUAGAGUUGUUGCAAAAUAAUGACACUAAUGAAAGAAAAUACA
Molecule: non-coding RNA, 1597 nt
Organism: Biomphalaria pfeifferi
Lineage: Eukaryota; Metazoa; Mollusca; Gastropoda; Planorbidae
Source: the annotation of a GenBank genome assembly